GUUAGGAAUAUUGGACAAUGGGCGAAAGCCUGAUCCAGCCAUGCCGCGUGAACGAUGAAGGCCUUCGGGUUGUAAAGUUCUUUAGCCGAUGAUUAUAAUGACUGUAGUCGGAAAAUAAGCCCCGGCUAACUUCGUGCCAGCAGCCGCGGUAAUACGAAGGGGGCGAGCGUUAUUCGGAAUCACUGGGCGUAAAGCGUGCGUAGGCGGUUUUGUAAGUUAGGAGGGAAAGCCCAGGGCUCAACCUUGGAAUUGCUCUUAAAACUGCAAGGCUCGAAUCUGGGAGAGGAUAGCGGAAUGUCCAGUGGAGCAGUGAAAUGCGUAGAUAUUGGAAGGAACACCAGUGGCGUAAGCGGCUAGCUGGACGAGUAUUGACGCUGAGGCACGAAAGCGUGGGGAUCAAACAGGAUUAGAAACCCGAGUAGUCC
RNAcentral lists this ribosomal RNA (425 nucleotides) under uncultured bacterium. RNAcentral's name for it is "partial 16S ribosomal RNA". It matches the Rfam family "Bacterial small subunit ribosomal RNA", at positions 354 to 796 of the family's 1533-position model. The record is from RNAcentral.